UGGGGAAUAUUGCACAAUGGGCGAAAGCCUGAUGCAGCAACGCCGCGUGAGGGAUGACGGCCUUCGGGUUGUAAACCUCUUUUAGUAGGGAAGAAGCGAAAGUGACGGUACCUGCAGAAAAAGCACCGGCUAACUACGUGCCAGCAGCCGCGGUAAUACGUAGGGAGCAAGCGUUGUCCGGAAUUAUUGGGCGUAAAGAGCUCGUAGGCGGUUUGUCGCGUCUGCUGUGAAAUCCCGAGGCUCAACCUCGGGUCUGCAGUGGGUACGGGCAGACUAGAGUGUGGUAGGGGAGAUUGGAAUUCCUGGUGUAGCGGUGGAAUGCGCAGAUAUCAGGAGGAACACCGAUGGCGAAGGCAGAUCUCUGGGCCAUUACUGACGCUGAGGAGCGAAAGCAUGGGGAGCGAACA
RNAcentral lists this ribosomal RNA (407 nucleotides) under uncultured bacterium. Its description in RNAcentral is "partial 16S ribosomal RNA". It matches the Rfam family "Bacterial small subunit ribosomal RNA", at positions 355 to 774 of the family's 1533-position model. The record is from RNAcentral.